GAUGAACGCUGGCGGCGUGCCUAGUACAUGCAAGUCGAGCGAACAGACGAGGAGCUUGCUCCUCUGACGUUAGCGGCGGACGGGUGAGUAACACGUGGAUAACCUACCUAUAAGACUGGGAUAACUUCGGGAAACCGGAGCUAAUACCGGAUAAUAUAUUGAACCGCAUGGUUCAAUAGUGAAAGACGGUUUUGCUGUCACUUAUAGAUGGAUCCGCGCCGCAUUAGCUAGUUGGUAAGGUAACGGCUUACCAAGGCAACGAUGCGUAGCCGACCUGAGAGGGUGAUCGGCCACACUGGAACUGAGACACGGUCCAGACUCCUACGGGAGGCAGCGGUAGGGAAUCUUCCGCAAUGGGCGAAAGCCUGACGGAGCAACGCCGCGUGAGUGAUGAAGGUCUUCGGAUCGUAAAACUCUGUUAUUAGGGAAGAACAAAUGUGUAAGUAACUAUGAACGUCUUGACGGUACCUAAUCAGAAAGCCACGGCUAACUACGUG
This 497-nucleotide ribosomal RNA is filed under the name uncultured bacterium. Its description in RNAcentral is "partial 16S ribosomal RNA". It matches the Rfam family "Bacterial small subunit ribosomal RNA", at positions 28 to 507 of the family's 1533-position model. The record is from RNAcentral.